UACGGGGGGGGCAAGCGUUGUUCGGAAUUACUGGGCGUAAAGGGCUCGUAGGCGGCCAACUAAGUCGGACGUGAAAUCCCCAGGCUCAACCUGGGAACUGCGUCCGAUACUGGAUGGCUUGAAUCCGGGAGAGGGAUGCAGAAUUCCAGGUGUAGCGGUGAAAUGCGUAGAUAUCUGGAGGAAUACCGGUGGCGAAGGCGGCAUCCUGGACCGGCAUUGACGCUGAGGAGCGAAAGCCAGGGGAGCAGACGGG
RNAcentral lists this ribosomal RNA (253 nucleotides) under uncultured bacterium. RNAcentral's name for it is "partial 16S ribosomal RNA". It matches the Rfam family "Bacterial small subunit ribosomal RNA", at positions 524 to 776 of the family's 1533-position model. The record is from RNAcentral.